RNAcentral lists this ribosomal RNA (333 nucleotides) under Triticum aestivum (bread wheat). RNAcentral describes it as "partial small subunit ribosomal RNA". The record is from RNAcentral. Lineage: Eukaryota; Viridiplantae; Streptophyta; Magnoliopsida; Poales; Poaceae.
AUGCCUGGUAGGCCUAGGAAGAAUGACAGGAAGAGGGAAGAGGGAGAAGCACCAAAAGGCAAGAAAAUGUCAAAGCAUGGCACUAAAAUUACUUGCAGCAUGUGUGGCCACAAGGGUCACAACAAGACAGGUUGCAAAAAAAAUCUUGAAAAAGGGCAGAAGAAAAAUGCAUUCCUGAAGAAAACAAGGAAGAAAAAAAAUGAGCAAGCAAACACUGAUACUCAGAUGAGAGCAAGUCAACAGGCCAAGAGCAAAGGAAAAGAUCAAGCAGAAGCAGGACCAAGUGGAGGGAAGAGGUGUUGGAAAUAUGUCCUAGAGGCAAUAAUAAAUUAG